CCAAAGUUCAGGACCCUUUCUGUCUGUGGCUCAGCCAGACACUCGUGACUGUCAGUUUAACAAGGAGCUCCAAGCUGCCAAGCACUGUCCCAGAACUUAUCAUCCUGCGAGCUAACCUGAAGGAUGCAGCAAUGACCAGGAGGUACCCAGAAGCGUGGCCUUAGGAGCAUCACCCCAGGACAGUGGCGAUGACACUGAAGUGAUUUACGGCGAGGUAAUGAGUAGAGCCGUGGCUAUGGAGUCUUCGCCAGGACCUUUGUGCAGACACUUACAGACCUUGCGAGGUCAAAGACCCCCUUUGCGGGUGAUCCCACUCAGGGUCCGAGUUUGCAUAAACUGCCCAAGGACCAUACUCUGGACUGCGACUGCGUCUCUGUUUAAGAUUCCUGCAGGCCGAGUGAGUGUGCAGUUCCUGAUAGCCAUCAACUGAUCGUCACGCACCAGCCCUCAGAGCAGAGAGCAUGGGUGAAACCAAAGAUAAGCGACCUGCCCCAGGCAGAGGUGGCCUCUAGUUGCAGAAGAAGAGUUGUGCGGGAAGCAGGAACAGGAAGUCAGGGAAAGAGUUAGAUGCGACAGCUGAACUCUGUGCUUUUCAAAAACUGGGUCUCUGGUUGAAGAGUUUUCGCCUCUCUGGUCCUUCAUCUGCCACACUGCUUUCCCAUCCCCUUUCUAUGGGAUACUCUAGCGGUCUGUAUCUUAAGUGCCCGAAAUGGACGGUGGGAUGCAGUGCCUUGCGGCUUUGCAGUUUACGGCACAUGUCUACAGUGUGGCUAAGAUCUAUAUUUUUAAUUUCAGUAAGUUUAAUGAUUUAAGAUUUAAGCGGCACCAUGUGACCGGUGAGUACCAUAUUGAGGAGUGCGGCUCUCGCCUGUUAGGAAACGGGAUGCCCUGUCUGUUUGCAUUAGUACUGAGAACGUCAGAAUGUGCGUGUGUUUUGCCUCAAGAUCUGACUUGAAGUAAGAUAUAGUAGUGAGAUCUCUGGGAACAAGGCACACUCCCCAGCUUUGACCUAUCGGUUGUGGGUGCCUCGGUUUCCUCAUUUGUCAGCUGUGGAUGGUAACGGUUGCCCCAUUGGUGAGGUUGUUUGAAAACUAAACGUGACAUUAGACGGUGACCAUCUGAAUGACUGAGCCAAGCCCGACUCUGUCAGAGCUAAUAAGAGGGCAGCACAUAUCAUCUUCUUGGGGUUAUACCAGGUCCCCAGCACCUGAAGCUUUACCAUGGCAGCAUAGAGACCAUUUUCUUGAUCUGGAAGCCAAAGUGGAAUGAUGUCAGUCCAGACUCCAAAGUCAAAGGGGACCCUGUGUGAGCAAGGAAUGAUUCACGUUUUCACAAGUCUCUGGAGCUUCCUCCUUCCCGGUGCCUGAGGAGAUAAGAGAGCGUUUCCUCCCAGGCCAUCCCCAACCAGACUCCUGUCCAAAGGGCUAAAAGUUCUUCUGGAGAUUUUACCCUCACUGCGGAGCACAGAUCAACAAGACAGUGCACCAGGUUUUUAAGAUGAAAUGCGCCCAGGCCUGAGAGAACAUAGACCCCCUCAUCACUUUCUUUUCUGCCUUCCAAUACAUUAAGAUGGAAAUGUCUUCAGAAUACAGGAAUGCUUUCUUCGGUUGCUCUGGACUCAGCUUGGUGUAAACGGCUGCUAUGGGAUGUCUACAUAUGAGCAGUUCGUCACCAAUGCCACCGAGAAGACACGACCAUGGGCUAGGGUCCUCUUUGGAUUUGAUUUGGGCAAGGGUGGGCCUGAUUCCUGAAAUGUCUUUUCAGCUCUAGAGUACAAGAUUCACCGCUACCUUUGCUUUUCAAAUUGACACUGUGAUGGGGCUGUCAAGGACGGGCAAUUCAACAGCAUGUCCGAAUACUCAAACACCUGCGAUGGCAGAGCAGGUGGCCACGAUGAGUGCGCUGCACUGGAUAGAUUCGGAUGAACUGUAGCGACCACCUUUAGAGGAAGCUGCUGCUUCUUGUUGCUAGGUAGUGGUACCAUGUAGGAAGCCAGCCUUCGCGGACAGUUCUCCAGCUUUUCCAAGCAAUACCAGAAAUCUGGGGUUUUUUUUUUUUUAAGGUCAAACCUCACAUUUUUAAAGGUUGACUCAAAAAUCUGUAAUCUGAGCCAACAACCUGUUUAGGAUGAGCUCUGCGCUCCUCACAAACCCAGGGCCACAUCAGGAGCCCUGAUCCUAAACUAACCAUAGAAUGUCACCUUAAAAAGAAAUUUGAGUGUUAAAACAGUCCAGUCCCCUUGUUGUUGUUGCUGUUGUUGUUGUUUUACUGUAACUCUUUCCGCUAAAAAAUCAAUCCUAUAACCUUUGGCCCAACCUGAUGAAGUCCAGGCUGAGCAGAGAAACCAGAGCAAACAAGAGUCCUGCUAUUUCCUGGAGUCAGCACCCCUGUGUCAAAACGGUGACAUUCAGAGCUUUGUGUUGCUGGUUUCAACUUUCCAGGUAGCUGAACCCCAAAGGCCCUGGUUAUCGUCAAUUCCUGGGCAGCCAAGCUGUCAGACUUUUCCCACGGCUGAGUCAGAGAGCUGCUUUCCCAGAAUUGUUAGGAGACCAAUACCCAGGAGGGGUCAUGGCUUCCCACCCAAAUGGUCCUGGAAAUGGAGGGAGUUGAGUGUCGGCUCCACGGGAGUCUCCCUGUGCCCUUCUUCCCAGCUGGGUCUGUGAUGUGUGCCUAGCUCUGCUUUCUCAUUUACUGCCCACCUUCUACAAACUAACAAAGAGGAUGCUCCAUGGGACCAGAACCCUUGCCCAGCUUGUCCAAAGCUGAGUCCUAGGUCUCAUAACAGCCAAGGAAAACGUCUGCAGGCUGUGGUCCCAGAGGGUAACGGCUCAUGGCAGCACCAUUGUAGCCUCCUCAAAGGUAGGCGCUUCGAUUCCUCCUUGAGUCUACACAGCACCAUUCUUUCGGCUGCCAUCUGCUCCGCCACUGGAGGUGCUGUGAGUCAGUUCUCAUUUGUGGAGUUCUGGGCCCCAGAGACAGGAAUGUUAGCAAUUGAGGAAUGGCUGUCAAGGUGGCCUUGCUGUGUCUCCAGAACCAGGAAGACCAGGGCUUCCUGAAGAAGCCUGCUGUUUCUCUGGAGACCUUUAUCAGAGAGACUGCUCUUCAAACACAGAUCUGAAGCCAGACCAUUUACAUCAGGACUGGGGUUAUCUCAGGGAGUCACACGUACUGAGCCUGCAUCCAUCUGCCAAGUCACAGCCUCCAGCACGCACACAUCUUGUUUCUUUGAAUUUCCGGAGGUUUUCUAGUCAAGGUCAAACACUUUUAUUCGUUAUUCAAUGUCCUAAAAGCAGAUAGUGUUAGCCAGGGGUAAGAGAGAAGCAGAAAGAGAACAAGAGACGGCAACUCAGAAGUCCUGAACACAGGACACAGCUGACAACGCUGAUGGCACUCUCGCUUUCGAUGCAUGCUUCAAAGCCAGAUGGUCUGGCUUUCCAAAAUGUACCUUUCUCAAUCACAUUUGGACACACACAUUUUAAAAAAAAAAAAAAACUAUCAUCCUUGGUCCCAGCCACAUUUCCAUGGGAAUGCAAUCAUUAACUAUGUGACAAGAGAAUAUCUUGGCCCCUGUCACUCCCUCCUAGGAUUCUAGACUCCAUGGAGAACAUCAGGUGCCAUGUGCAUGCGUGUAUGCAUGUACAUGUAUGGGUGUGUGUGUGUAUGUGUGUGUAUGUGUGUGGUUUGGUUAUAAAGAUGGCCUUUUUUUUUUCCUAAAAACAUGUCUCUGAAAAUGCUUCUGAAUGGUACAGAGCCAAUGACCCAGAUCAGAAGGCCUGGGAGGAUGACACCAUCCCAAUGACUCAACAUUCUUGGUGUCUGAAAAAUAAGGAAUUCUAUGAAGAACAAAACAGCGUUUCUUUUGCGUCUAAGGAUCCCCUGUUGGUUAUCUGACCAUGCUGAAUGGAGUGAAGGAGGCCAGCACACCCAGCCAAUGGCCUUCAGGUGCCUGACCACCCGCUUACAUGUCUAACUGUGAGCCAUGAAACCCAGACAAUGGCCUUUUAGGUGCCUGACCACCCGCUUACAAGUCUAGCUGCGUGCCGUGAACUACUCCAAGACUUCACUGGAUUCGCCGACAUGGGCCACAUCCACUCCAAGGCUAUGAAGCUACCCCAGCACUGUGCAGAAGGCAGCCUGGACCAUCAUCAAGAAGUAAUGCAUGCACCUGGUUAAGGAGUUCCACACCAACAAUCACGUGUACGUGGAGAUCGCCAUGCUCCCCAGCAUAGAAGUUCUAUGACAAGCUAGCAGGCAAUGUCACGCGGCUGAUGAGGCGGAUUCGGAUAGGUCCUGGGAGCCCUGGCUCAAUCAAGUUGCAGGAGGGAGAGAGGGGAGAAAGGAUAAGUAUGUUCCUAAGGUCUCAUCCCCAGGUCAGCAGAUCACUGGGGUAGACCCGACACUAAGGAAAUGCUUGAAGCUUCUGGUUUGCCACAGCAUCUCCCACCUGCAGGUCACUCUGCCUACAGUUGGGAAGAAUUUCAGAAUGCCAUGUGGCACCAUCCGAAUCUGUUCUGGAAUGUUUUCAAUAAAUCCGAGGAUAGCUCAAAAUAAUAAUAUUCUUUAAGUACUUACAUAUGUCCCUAUACGUUAUGUAUAAAACGGCCUAAGCAGGGGAUCAGUAAGGAGCUAGGAGACACAGAGAACACUCGGAACCGCUAUCCCUGACAGACAUCUGUACAGAACUCUACUCCCCAAGACGACAGGAGAUGCAUUCUUAAGCAGACUGAGGUACACCAUAUGCUAGCUCCUAUACUGGAUCGCAGAACUUCUAAGAAGAUUGAAAUGACACACAAAAUGUUCUUGGACUUUGAUGAAAUGACAUUAAAAAUAAGUAGCAAAAACAGACUUGAACAAGCCAUAUGGGUUUAGAAGUCAACACUCUCCCGACUUAAAAAUGGCCAAUAAGCAAAACCAUGAGGGAAAUUCGAAAACAUUUUGAGUUGAAAAAUAAAAACGAAUCGAAUCUACAGUCUGCAGAACCUUAGAGGACAGAGCUGAAGCUACUGAGAGGGAACUUUGUCCUUAUAGACGGCUCCUUCACAAGGUGUAGGGCCAGAGAGAGGUGACUUGGGGGCUAAAGGCACCUACUUCUCUUGCUUUGCCUCCAAACGUCCAUGUGAUGACUCCCAACCUCCUGAGUAUCUAUACACUGAAGCAUACACAUAAAUAAAUAAAUCUUGAAAAUAGAGAACAAAACUAAUCUUUCAACAAUCAAGGGGAUGGAGAGAUGAUCCAGCUCUUGUGGUCUGGUUCCCAGUACCCACAACCAUCUAUAGCUGCUGUUCCAAGGGAUCCAACACCCUCUGUCUUCCUUGGGCACAUAUGUGGUACACAUGCAUACAUGCAGACAAAUACUCGUACACAUAUUUUUUUUAAAAAUACCUUAAAAGAAUAUCUAAACAUUGAUGACUUAAACUUCUCUCUUGAGAAGACAGCAGAGCUAGAAAAGGAGCAGAUGAAACCAAAGCAGCAUGAGGAGGAAGAAAGAUUAUGGUGAAAAUGACUGAAUCCCAGCUUUCAAAAGUAACAGGAAAAAAUCAAUGAAAUCAAAGGUUGGGUCUUUGAAGGUAUCAACCAACUUGAAAAAACUUUAGCCAACCUAUCAAGAAAAAAGAGAAAAGACUCAAAUGCUAGAGCCAGGAAUGGAACAGUGAGGAUUGCUCCUUUCCCUCCAGGAGAAGUACAACACCCAUCACCUUCCACAGGUUCAG
This is a long non-coding RNA of Alexandromys fortis (reed vole), 5711 nucleotides long. RefSeq lists it as uncharacterized. NCBI's taxonomy places the organism in Eukaryota, Metazoa, Chordata, Mammalia, Rodentia, Cricetidae. The record is from RefSeq and is a predicted model, not a curated record. The transcript has 3 exons.